ACGCUCGACACCUACGGGAGGUAGCAGUGGGGAAUAUUGCACAAUGGGGGAAACCCUGAUGCAGCGACGCCGCGUGGAGGAAGAAGGUCUUCGGAUUGUAAACUCCUGUUGUUGGGGAAAAAGAGGAUGGUACCCAACAAGGAAGUGACGGCUAACUACGUGCCAGCAGCCCGGUAAUCUGAGCGGGCUGGCAAGGC
This 197-nucleotide ribosomal RNA is filed under the name uncultured bacterium. RNAcentral's name for it is "partial 16S ribosomal RNA". It matches the Rfam family "Bacterial small subunit ribosomal RNA", at positions 328 to 539 of the family's 1533-position model. The record is from RNAcentral.